Molecule: ribosomal RNA, 528 nt
Filed under: uncultured bacterium
Lineage: Bacteria
Description: partial 16S ribosomal RNA
Rfam family: Bacterial small subunit ribosomal RNA
Source: RNAcentral
ACUCAAAUGAAUUGACGGGGACUCGCACAAGCAGAGGAUCAUGUGGUUUAAUUCGAUGGUAAACGAAGAACCUUACCAGGGUUGGAAAUUUAGCUGAAGACGAGCAGAAACGUUCGUCGCCGCAAGGCAGCUAGACAGGUGCUGCAUGGUCGUCGUCAGUUCGUGGUUUGAAUUGUUCCCUUCAGUGGGGUAACGAACGCAACCCUCAUUGCCUGUUACAAGUGUCAGGCGAGACUGCCCAGCUUUCUGCACACAAGCCUCCUAAAAAGAGCGCUUGCGAAUAGGAAGCUGGGAGGAAGGUGAGGAUGACGCCAGAUCAGCAUGGCCCUUUGAUACCCUGGGCUACACACGUGAUACAAUGCUAUCUACAACGCGAUGCGACGGCGAGAGCCUGAGCCAAUCGUUAUAAAGGAUAGCCUAGUUCGGAUAGGAGUCUGCAACUCGACUCCUUGAAGCUGGAUUUGCUAGUAAUCUCGGGUCAGCUAUACCGAGGUGAAUACGUUCUCGAGUCUUGUACACACCGCCCGU